Vespa crabro (European hornet) is the source of this 4598-nucleotide long non-coding RNA. RefSeq lists it as uncharacterized. Lineage: Eukaryota; Metazoa; Arthropoda; Insecta; Hymenoptera; Vespidae. The record is from RefSeq and is a predicted model, not a curated record. The transcript is spliced from 4 exons.
GAUAUUUCUUCAAUAAUUAUUAAAAAUAAAAUUACAAUAUAAAAUUGGUAUAGAAUAAUAUAAAGAUUAAAAUUAAAAUAUUUUCAAUGUUUAUAUAUAUAUAUAUAUAAUUCAAAUGAAUGAUGAAUUGAAUAAUGCCAUUUAGUUAAAAUACAUAAUUAUAUAUUUGAAGUUGGUAAUACUACAUCGUUCAUUUUUUAAAAGAAUUUUCAAAUGUGAUUAUUUCUGCGUAUUUACGAAUUAAUGAUAUGCAUCAUUAUUUAAGGUCAUCAGCUCUAGGCUUACAACCAGUUAAUUUUUCAAUAAUGAUUUCUAAAAUAUACCAAAACCGGAGUUUCUCUAAUGGCCAAUUUAACCAGCCAGUAGUAAUGCAAAAAUAUGUUUCAUGCGGUGCAACAUGAUGUACACGAUGGUGUUUUCUUGGUAAAAUUACUCUAUGUUCCUGUAGCCAAACUACCCAAGGAGGAAGUCCGAAAUAUAAUGGGAAGUUCGACAGAACCCCAUGUAUCAGCAGCCCAAUGAACUACUCCAGAUCCAAAAUCCGCCGUGAUGAUUCCGCAUAAUGCUGCUACUAUUAUCGAACUUAAAUUUUCAAGUUUUAAUCUGACCAAGAUGAACAAUGAAUUUACUGCUACCAGCGUGAUACAAAUACCAACGCAUAUACAUUCCUGCGUUCUUUUUCCUGAUAUAAAAAAGAUCCAACAAGACGAUAUUUGUUAUAAAGAAGAAGAAUAGAGGAAAGAUUGUGAUCAUUAAACAAGUUUUUAAAAAAUACAAGAUAUUCUUUUUAAAUGAAUAAUCAAAAUCCAUCGAUAAUCGGAUAGACGUUUCGAUUUUGUAUUUUUUUUCUUUUUUUCCUUUACAACGUCACGUCAUGUUAGAGAUUUAAGCGAGCGGACAAGGCAACGGAGGCGCCAAAACGUCUGUGCCGGAUUUGAGAGUGCGCACGUGCCGCCGAAAAGUGGGUUAAUUUCUUGCUCGCACGAGCUUUAAGAAUGACGAGAAGAGUACUAUAUCCUUUAUUACCUCGAUGAUUCUUCUCUUUGUUCCUUCAGGAACGAGUGAACGAAGUAAUUCGGAAGAAUCCUCGAGUGCAUCAUCUCUUACCAUAUCUGCGGACGUUAACCUUGUUCAUACUCUCAUUCUCUCUUUCUCUCUUUUUCUUUUCUUUUCUCUCGUGUUACACAGACGACGAGUAGGUAAAAGAUAAUUCAUUGUGACCCUGCCAACGAGAACAAAUUCUCCAACGUGUGAGUUAAUCGAGCUUAUUUUAGAUAUUUCUGGUUUUUUCUUUUUCUUUUUCUUUUUUUCUUUCUUUUUUCUUUUUUUUUUUUUUAGGUUGAAGUGUCAAAAAAGAAAAUUGAUGUAUUAUCAAAAUAACGAACACGAUCUAAGGAUUGAUCGUGGAGACACAGGCACAGACAUUCUUUAAAGUAUAGUGAUGUCAUCCUUUGAUGUCCAUCGUUUUAUUGAAUGAACUCAUUUCAUGAAUCAAACGAACAUCUCUUUGGAAAAUCCAUGUAUGGAAGAAAGCAAAAGGUUCACAAAGUGUGAGAAAGAUAAGAAGAGAGAGAGGAGAGAGAAAGAGAGAGAGAGAGAGAGAAAAAGAGAGAGAAAAACAGAGAGAGAAAAAAGAGAGAAAAGAAAGCAGGUGGUUGAGAAAGACCGGCACUGAGAAUCAAUUUAAAAAUGCUGGACUGUCGCGUGCGUUACUGAUUCUUAUACGACGGCACCAGCAGACUCGCGUGACGUGACUGACGCGCGCUCGUCUCUUUCUCACACACAGAUACACAACACACGCAACACGAGAAUAAUGACGCGAUUCCUUCGAAUGAAGAAGGGCGUACCCGUGACAGUGCGACGAUUCUUAUUGUUGAAUUUGAAGGAACUUCUUCUCGUAGAGGAAGAAAGUUCGACGAGUUAUCCUUCGAAGAAAUAGACGUAGUUGUCGUAACGGUAAAAUAAAUAUCCUUCCUUUCGUUGAUAUCUUCGAGACAAGUGUGCCCGAAGCCGGCUCCACGAUGCACAUGUACGCAUACGGGGUGGCAUGCGUCGAGUAAUAUACUUUUCUGUCGCGAAAUACGGUACCGGCGAGCGCGUCCGGGAGUAGAAGAGCCGCCUAGAUGCGUGCUAUUUGUAAGACGAACGUCGGACGAAAAGGGCGAAGGACGUAAGCGAUUCCCAGAUAGAAAGAGAGUCAGAAAGAGGAAAAAGGACGGAACGUACGUGCGUGUGCAAGGAGAGAUAGAUGGAAAGAUAAAGAUAGCGAUAUGUGUGUGUGUGUGUGUGUGUAUAUAUAUAGAUAGAUAGAUAGAUAGAUAGAUAGAUAGAUAGAUAGAUAGAAAAGAGAAAUAUAUAUAUAUAUAUAUAUAUAUAUAUAUUUAUAAAAAUAGUGGAAAGAGUGAGAGAAAAAAAGAGAAAGGAAGAGGAAAUUUAGAACGGCAAAGAACCAAAUGCGAGAUUGAUUAAAUAGAAAAAGGACCACGAUAGCGAUUUGGGAGGGACGGUAAAGAUGAUGAGAGGUCGAAGAGUAGCGCGGCAAGCUUCGACGCCGAGGAUUGUGCCACUGCCGACGGAGACGGAGGCGCUGCUUUCGCUUUCGUUCGUUCUUGUCUACGGUGGAGGCGGUGGUGGUAACGGCGACGGCGGCGGUGACGGCGGCAACGGCAGUUGCUACUGCUGCUUUUCCUGUUUCUCCUGCUCUCCCUCAAGCACCUCCCGUCUUUCGGAUUAGACUUUCGAGCGGUCUAAAACUCGAACGAGCGCGCCUCUUGCACUCUUUGUUCCUCUAACCCCACCCUUCCUACCCGCACUUUUAUCGUUCGCGGUUUACUCGACGAUCGGUGUCUUUCGGCAAAAUUCGCCUUCUUUCGUUUCCGCAACGGGCGAGACCGGAGCUGUCCGAUUGCGAUGCUCCUGCGCGACGCACUAUGCUUCCACCCAUUGGGGUGACACGUUCUUACCGUCUUCAUUUUCUUUUUCCUCCUCUCCUCGCAAUCGAACUGCUUCGAAACAAUUACGUGUAACACCGUUUACAGAUCAUGCCGUUAUUGAUCCUUCUUCCUAUUUCUAAAUAACUUUCGAUGUAUCUUUCUUUGUCUUUCAAUGUUCUAAAUCACGAAACGUUCCAACACAUAUUUAUUUUCUGUACUGUUUUUAAUUAUACAAGUUAUGUUUCAAUAAUAUUGUGAUUACAUUUAAACACAAUUUUUUUUUACAGAUUUAAAUAUAAAUCUAUGCUUUCAUUAUUAUCUAGAAAUAAUAUUUAUUUUUUGUUCUUAAAAAUAUUCGUAUGAAAUUUUAAUGAUAUAUAUGAAAAACUAUUUAACGUUGAUUGAAAUUUAAAUAUAUUAUAAGAUUGUACAUUUGGUUGAUCUGAGAUAUAGAAAAUUUAUAAGUUUUUCUAUUCAUUCACUUGGUCACGAAAGUUACAAUAUAAUUCUUCGCACUUACAUUAGACAAUAAUCUUUCUUUGUGUUACCCUCCAAAUGGCCUUCAAGUUUCACCGCAAAAGAAAGCCGAAGAAGCUACAUAAUUUAUCGGCCGUCCGCGCGUAUCGGACUACAGCGUGAAAAGCAUCACAUGACUCGAUGGCCAUUUCGUCUAGGACACUUGCUGUUUCGCAGAAUGCUCAUACUUUAUUUAAUAUACGAUCGACCAUGCAACCAACCCUAACUUUUAACUCCCCGUCUAUGUUAGAAGAUACACGUCGUCUUACGUUCGCCGACCUUACAGGAAAACGAACUCUCUUUCAUAUCAACAUUUUAUUAGACGAAGAACAAAAUUGAAAACUUCUUAAGAAUUAAUCGUAUUGUAAAUAUUUUAAUUAUAUAUAUAUAUAUAUAUAUAUAAACUCCGAAGAUAUAUAUAUAUAAACUCCGAAGAUUAUUUAUAUGUAUUCGCUUUUAUUACAUAUUCGUUAUAUAUGUACGGUGGAAAGGGAGGUGACCUUUGACAUCCUGUACACAAGGAAACUCAUUUCUAUCGAUGUCAAUUUUAUUCUUCAAAGGAAUAAUAAACGAGCUCUGUCUCUAAACAACAAAAGUCGAUACUUGAGACUUGCAUAUUUAUAAGUAAAUUAAUUAGAUAGAUUUUCUAUAAGUAUAUUAUAAGAAAGUACUCUAUGCGAAUAGUUUGUAUUUAUAAAUACAUAGUUACGUAUAAUGAAUGCGAGAUAAAAUCAUUAGUUAGUAACAUAUAUAUAUAUAGAAUACGCAUUUGAUUAUGCGAUGAAUUAUAUUCAUUCUACUUGCUCGUAUGUGUAUAGAGAGAGAGAGAUCAAGACAUAAAAAACGCGUAUAUUUGAACGUAAGAACAUGCGAAUCCUACUUUCAUUCUCGUCUAUUAACACCAUUACAAUAGUCACGAAGAUAACAUCGACAAUUUUAAUUUGAGAUGAUUAUGUAAAAUGUCGUUUUAGAUCAUGAACUAAUGUUAUAGGAGUACAAAACCAAUGUGUCCUUAUCGCUAUGACGUUAUAGCUUGCAUUUCUAAGAUAAACACUUGUUUCAUUUCUGAAAAAUCGUGAAAUAAAGAGUUGGCAAAUAUAAUUAUAUGAGAGAAACAAAUAAAGAAAUUAAUUAAUCUGUGAAUUUAAA